CCUACGGGGGGCAGCAGUGGGGAAUAUUGCGCAAUGGGCGAAAGCCUGACGCAGCGAUGCCGCGUGAGGGAUGAAGGUCUUCGGAUCGUACACCUCUGUCAGCAGGGAAGAACGGUCACUGUGCUAAUCAGCAGUGAAUUGACGGUACCUGCAAAGGCAGCACCGGCUAACUCCGUGCCAGCAGCCGCGGUAAUACGGAGGGUGCGAGCGUUAAUCGGAAUUACUGGGCGUAAAGCGCUCGUAGGCGGUAUGUCAAGUCAAGGGUGAAAUCCCCGCGCUCAACGUGGGAACUGCCUUUGAAACUGGCAAACUGGAGUGUGUGAGGGGAGAGUGGAAUUCCAGGUGUAGGAGUGAAAUCCGUAGAUAUCUGGAGGAACAUCAGUGGCGAAGGCGACUAUCUGGCACAUAACUGACGCUGAGGAGCGAAAGCGUGGGUAGCAAACAGGAUUAGAUACCCCAGUAGUC
RNAcentral lists this ribosomal RNA (465 nucleotides) under uncultured bacterium. Its description in RNAcentral is "partial 16S ribosomal RNA". It matches the Rfam family "Bacterial small subunit ribosomal RNA", at positions 338 to 795 of the family's 1533-position model. The record is from RNAcentral.